GAUGAAUGCUGGCGGCGUGCCUAAUACAUGCAAGUCGAGCGAACCACUUCGGUGGUGAGCGGCGAACGGGUGAGUAACACGUAGGUGAUCUGCCCAUCAGACGGGGACAACGAUUGGAAACGAUCGCUAAUACCGGAUAGGACGAAAGUUUAAAGGUGCUUCUGGCACCGCUGAUGGAUGAGCCUGCGGCGCAUUAGCUAGUUGGUAGGGUAAAGGCCUACCAAGGCGACGAUGCGUAGCCGACCUGGGAGGGUGAACGGCCACACUGGGACUGAGACACGGCCCAGACUCCUACGGGAGGCAGCAGUAGGGAAUCUUCGGCAAUGGCGAAAGCCUGACGGAGCAAUGCCGCGUGAGUGAAGAAGGCCUUCGGGUCGUAAAACUCUGUUAUAAGAGAAGAACAAAUUGUAGAGUGACUGCUACAGUCUUGACGGUAUCUUAUCAGAAAGCCACGGCUAACUACGUGCCAGCAGCCGCCGCCG
RNAcentral lists this ribosomal RNA (482 nucleotides) under uncultured bacterium. RNAcentral's name for it is "partial 16S ribosomal RNA". It matches the Rfam family "Bacterial small subunit ribosomal RNA", at positions 28 to 523 of the family's 1533-position model. The record is from RNAcentral.